This 252-nucleotide ribosomal RNA is filed under the name uncultured bacterium. RNAcentral's name for it is "partial 16S ribosomal RNA". It matches the Rfam family "Bacterial small subunit ribosomal RNA", at positions 525 to 776 of the family's 1533-position model. The record is from RNAcentral.
ACAGAGACUGCAAGCGUUAUUCGGAUUCACUGGGCGUAAAGGGUGCGCAGGCGGUUGCGUGUGUCAGGUGUGAAAUCUCGGGGCUCAACCCCGAAACUGCGCCUGAAACUACGUGACUAGAGCAUUGGAGAGGGUAGCGGAAUUCACGGUGUAGCAGUGAAAUGCGUAGAUAUCGUGAGGAACACCAGAGGCGAAGGCGGCUACCUGGACAAUUGCUGACGCUCAGGCACGAAAGCGUGGGGAGCCAAAGGG